This is a non-coding RNA of Poecilia reticulata (guppy), 2564 nucleotides long. NCBI's taxonomy places the organism in Eukaryota, Metazoa, Chordata, Actinopteri, Cyprinodontiformes, Poeciliidae. The record is from RefSeq and is a predicted model, not a curated record.
CUAUUGAAGAAAAAACCCUACAUUUUGACAAAGAAAAAAUUGUUAAAAAAAAAAAAAAAGGAAAAUGACUUAAAAUGGGGAAUAAAUGACUGUGCCUCACCUAUACAGACUAGUAAAAAUAUUUCAAAGUGAUUCUGAAUAAAUAGGUCUGAUGACUUGGAAGCUAUUGAAGAAAACAUUAUUUAUUAAAGUCAUUUAAAAUAUAUGACUUUAAAUUGUAAUAGAGGCUAUUGUGUCUCAUGUAAAAGCACGAAUUAGCACUGACAGUUGGUUACAAAUCAAGGCAUUUAUUAACAUUUGUUUGACAGGAGUGUUUGGUUUGGUAAUUUGAUAAUAGUGAACCUUCGAGCGCUUUUGCCGGGAGCGGUGGAGAACGGCUGGCCGACAUUAGCGUUCAUAAAUCGGUUCAACCUUGAGCUAAACGCCCCUUACUCCGCGGAGCUCGGGCCGGAAGCGGUGGAGAACCUCUGGUCGAAAUUAGCGUUCAUAAAUCGGAUCAACCUUUAGCUAAACACCCCUUACUCCGCGGAGCGCGAAUAUCCAAUAUCCAACUUGAAAACAACUUCACUGAUAUCGGUAACGCAAAGAAAACACCGGUGUUCUGACUAGUUUGUUUUGGUCUGUGGACACCAAAGAUGGCGCGGAGCGACUUAAACGUCAUACGCUGUGACGUCAGCUCCAAAGCUCUAUAUAAAGGACCCUCCCAUAUUAUCGACAUCAUGAUGUUCUUUUCUUUCCGGUUUAGACCUCCGCGUUUGUUGACGCUCCACGCUACCCACAUGCUCCAAUUGUGCGCUUAACGACGCUGUAAUUGCUAACUGAUCCUCCUCAUGGUAAGAACCUUCCCACUCUCUAUGUUUGCAUAGCUUUAGCUCAGCUUCUGUUGUAUAUUCAGGCUGCUCAUACAAGCUGCCUGAUUUCCCUUCCUUUCAGAGCCACUAAAUAUAGAACUCAGUGGUAAGUGAAAUGCUCAUCUUUUGUAUGCUUCCAGAUUCAAUUUCUGAUAUUUAUUUUUGAUAGACGCUGGCCGGCUGUUUGCCUGUUUGCCUGUUGUCCUGUUUGUCCCUGGCUGGCGGUCUUCCUUGUUGGGUACCAGGACAUCUUCAAGUUUCCUCGGAGACUUCCCGUUUUCAAACCCAGAGGGGAUUCCAUUCACUACGCUGGCAGCUAUACUCACCGGUAACCGGAGUCCGCCCACAUCCCUCUGUUUAAGAGCCCUCAGCGCGUCUCCACCUGGAGCCCGCCCCGAAGCUCUUGGGGUCUCUCUCUCUCUCACGAGUCUGUCCGUCCCUCAUCCCUCUCCGAGUCAGCCUCCGUUCCCAACUGCAACCUGGUACCGAAACCCUUCCCCCACCAGAACUCAUUACAACAAGUAAGCUCCGAACCCAUACUAGUAGCCUGUUUUCCUACGAUCAUUAAACUCACCUCCACUCUCCUUUUGUGUGCAGCCAUGCCAGUCUUCCUGCUGCAGCUUCCCGACUGCGGAUGUUUUGACCUUUUUUGAUCACUGUCAUUAAAACAUCUAUCUGACAUCAAACAGAUAUCUUAAAUAUUUUAUUCUGCCUCUCUGUGAGUUUCUGCAUGUGGGCUCAGAAAUUAAAACCCAGCAUGACAUGCCUAUUGUCUUGGUUACCUGAAGACAAGCAGUUGCCUACCUGUUGUCCUGGUUGCUGGCCUCAUGCCCGCCGUCUUGGUCGGUGUAAUAUGGCAGGCCAUUUUAACAUAAAUUUGGUUUUACCGACCUUACGUUCCAGAUAUCUCAAAUUGUUUUGUGACUAGGCGUUUCAGCGAUUUACGAUAUCUCUAAUUAUAUUUCGACUAGACAAAAUAACUAUUCUCAAAUUACAUUCUGACUAGUCGAAGUGACGUCAGAUUUACCAUUGACUUGUAUGGAGACUUCAAGAUAUCUAAAAUGAAUUACUGACUAUCUGAAAUGCAUAUUUCAGAUAUCUACAAUUAAAUUAUGACUAGUCAUAAAGUAAAUUCAAGAUAUCUCUAAUGACAAGAUAAUUCAAGAUAUCUUAAAUGUAUUUUUAGAUAGAUGUGUAGUUUUGACUAGUGAAAACUAAAUUAUAGAUAUCUUAAAAGCAAAUAAUGACUAGACAAAAUUAAAUUAAAGAUAUCUUGAAUUGUAAUUUUGACUAGUCAAAAUUCCUUUUAAGAUAUCUCUAAAUGAAUUCAAGAUAUCUUGACUUGUACAGUUUAAAUUGACAUUUUGACUAGUCAGAAUGACAUUACUGAUAUCUUGAAUAUGUAUUCUGUCUAGUCAAAACGUCCCUGACUUGCGUAGCAAUUUUAAAGUUUAAUAAAACUUUAAAAUUUUGUUUUUUAAAAAUAGAAAAAACAAAAAAAGAUGUUUGAAAAUGCACCACUUUCAUGUUGAAAAUGGUUUGACAAUAGCAAUUUUAGCUUUUCAAAGCUAUUUUUAAGUGUAUUCGGCUCCUCAACAGCACAAAGACAAAAGAACUCAUAAUAGAUUACAGGAGGAAAAGAACGGACAUCAAACCACUACACAUUGGGGGAAAAUGUGUGGAAAGGGUAGCUGACUUUCGUUUUCUGGGGGU